Bactrocera neohumeralis is the source of this 1277-nucleotide long non-coding RNA. RefSeq lists it as uncharacterized. The transcript has 3 exons. Lineage: Eukaryota; Metazoa; Arthropoda; Insecta; Diptera; Tephritidae. The record is from RefSeq and is a predicted model, not a curated record.
UUUCGGGGGUUUUUAACGUAAAAAAAAUAAAAUACAAAAAUUCAUAGCAUCAAAACAUAUUUUUAUAUGAAGUUCAUUUUCAGUUUUUAAAAAUAGUAGAAAUAAUUAGUAAAUAGUGGAAAUACAUAGAUGACAGAAUCACAAAUUGUUAUAAAAUUCUUGAUAAAAGCGUGGAAUCAAGUUCUUUUUAAUUAAUUCGUUGAUAUCUUGACUUUUAUUAUUAGGAAUUCCGAUUUUGGAGUGGUAGGCUUUUUGUAAAUCAAUCGGUGUGCUAUGUUUCUUCUUGGAUUUGAUUAAAGGGUCUUCCCUGAACUUCUCCUCAGCGUAUGAUGUCAAAGAAAUCUCCAUAAGACAUUUCUUGCACUAAGAAUGGCUGGCCUGUUUUCUUUGCUGAUCGAAUUGUAGUAAUGAAUGAGUCAGUGGUGUAUACUGGCCCACUUUUAAGCAUUCGUUUAGUUGCUCUCUCAAUAAGGGAAUGUGCUGAGUCACCUUCAUUUUGGGUAUGGCCUUUGAAGAGGUACUUGUGGGUGAUAGACUUUAUAUCCAAGUAGCGAACGGCGUAUAGAUACAAGGCAAACAUGAACUUGUUUUUCUGUUGUCCAGCACAAUUAUCAGAAUAAAAUAUUAUUUCAUCUUCAUUAGUCUUUGCCAAACUUUUAAUAUACUCAAAAACGCAUGUUCCUAAUUCAUUAACCCCACGCUUUGCAUUGGCUUCGUCCCAAACAAAACAUUGACAUUUGUUUGUUUUAUAUCAAAUAUGGUGAAAUUGAACACAUUUACUUUAGAUUUAUAAUAGAAGGCAGACACUUUGCCCUUUGGUAAUUGCAUGACUGCUUGCAAAUCAUACACUGCCUCAACUGCAUUUUGACUUUUCUUGUCCUUACUUUUCUCUUGUCGCGACAAACUUUUUUCACGCAAGUGAUUUUCAUAUACGGCUUUGUUGUUAGAUUUUUCUUCGACCGUCAUAUUAGUAUAGGCUUCGCAUUGCUCACAUAGGUCUUUUUUGGGAAAAAAAAGGAAAUAUUAAAGUUUUCCGUAAAUGAUCUAUAAAACGAAAUAUAUGUGCAAAAGGGCUGUUUUCUUUCUUUGCAUAUAUCUAUGUACAUAGUCGCGAUAAAGGCUUGAUAUUGUUUUGCUUCCUUCAAUAAACGUUUUAGAUGUACUUGCUCUCGUAUAAUGGCUUUCGAUUUUCGGUAUUGUUUCAAUAAACGCCCUUAUUCCAUCUGCCAUAUUCUUGUCAAGUUUUUUGUGCUUUCCGUGUUUGCCUCUUUGAUCCG